Long non-coding RNA from Symphalangus syndactylus (siamang), 212 nucleotides. RefSeq lists it as uncharacterized. NCBI's taxonomy places the organism in Eukaryota, Metazoa, Chordata, Mammalia, Primates, Hylobatidae. The record is from RefSeq and is a predicted model, not a curated record.
UCCUCACUGCUUCAGUCUGCAUUUCUUCUUGCUGCCGCCAUGAGAAGAAGGAUGUGUUUGCUUCCCCUUCUGCCACUAUUGAAAGUUUCCUGAGGCCUCCCCAACCGUGCUGAACUUGUGAAUACUCUAAGACGCUUAGAAGUAAACAUGGAGAAGGCUUUGCUGGAAGAGAAUUUCACGCACUGUGGCUUCAGAAAUAUAAUCUUUAUGGC